UAGAAGACAGGCCGGUCGGGAAAGCCCGC
RNAcentral lists this small RNA (29 nucleotides) under Bombyx mori (domestic silkworm). Its description in RNAcentral is "ovarian small RNA-21799". Lineage: Eukaryota; Metazoa; Arthropoda; Insecta; Lepidoptera; Bombycidae. The record is from RNAcentral.